This 407-nucleotide ribosomal RNA is filed under the name uncultured bacterium. Its description in RNAcentral is "bacterial SSU rRNA". It matches the Rfam family "Bacterial small subunit ribosomal RNA", at positions 470 to 875 of the family's 1533-position model. The record is from RNAcentral.
UGACGGUACCCAAAGAAUAAGCACCGGCUAACUUCGUGCCAGCAGCCGCGGUAAUACGAAGGGUGCAAGCGUUACUCGGAAUUACUGGGCGUAAAGCGUGCGUAGGUGGUUGUUUAAGUCUGYYGUGAAAGCCCUGGGCUCAACCUGGGAAUKGCRRUGGAAACUGGGCGACUAGAGUGUGGCAGAGGGUAGUGGAAUUCCUGGUGUAGCAGUGAAAUGCGUAGAGAUCAGGAGGAACAUCCGUGGCGAAGGCGACUGCCUGGGCCAACACUGACACUGAGGCACGAAAGCGURGGGAGCAAACAGGAUUAGAUACCCUGGUAGUCCACGCCCUAAACGAUGCGAACUGGAUGUUGGGUGCAAUUUGGCACGCAGUAUCGAAGCUAACGCGUUAAGUUCGCCGCCUG